RNAcentral lists this ribosomal RNA (465 nucleotides) under uncultured bacterium. RNAcentral's name for it is "bacterial SSU rRNA". It matches the Rfam family "Bacterial small subunit ribosomal RNA", at positions 369 to 828 of the family's 1533-position model. The record is from RNAcentral.
CAAUGGGCGCAAGCCUGAUCCAGCUAUUCCGCGUGUGGGAUGAAGGCCCUCUGGUUGUAAACCACUUUUGUAGAGAACGAAAAGACACCUUUUAAAAAGGGUGUUGCUGACGGUACUCUAAGAAUAAGCACCGGCUAACUACGUGCCAGCAGCCGCGGUAAUACGUAGGGUGCGAGCGUUAAUCGGAAUUACUGGGCGUAAAGGGUGCGCAGGCGGUUGAGUAAGACAGAUGUGAAAUCCCCGAGCUUAACUCGGGAAUGGCAUAUGUGACUGCUCGACUAGAGUGUGUCAGAGGGAGGUGGAAUUCCACGUGUAGCAGUGAAAUGCGUAGAUAUGUGGAAGAACACCGAUGGCGAAGGCAGCCUCCUGGGACAUAACUGACGCUCAGGCACGAAAGCGUGGGGAGCAAACAGGAUUAGAUACCCUGGUAGUCCACGCCCUAAACGAUAUAGCUAGUUGUUGGGA